Molecule: ribosomal RNA, 253 nt
Filed under: uncultured bacterium
Lineage: Bacteria
Description: partial 16S ribosomal RNA
Rfam family: Bacterial small subunit ribosomal RNA
Source: RNAcentral
UACGUAGGUUGCAAGCGUUGUCCGGAAUCACUGGGCGUAAAGGGUCUGUAGGUGGUCUGUUAAGUCUCCUGUGAAAUUUCCGGGCUUAACCCGGAACGGUCGGGGGAUACUGGCAGACUCGAGGCCGUCAGAGGGAAGCGGAAUUCCCGGUGUAGUGGUGAAAUGCGUAGAUAUCGGGAGGAACACCAGUGGCGAAAGCGGCUUCCUGGGGCGGUCCUGACACUCAUAGACGAAAGCGUGGGGAGCAAACCGG